This 302-nucleotide ribosomal RNA is filed under the name uncultured bacterium. RNAcentral's name for it is "partial 16S ribosomal RNA". It matches the Rfam family "Bacterial small subunit ribosomal RNA", at positions 508 to 807 of the family's 1533-position model. The record is from RNAcentral.
GCAGCCGCCGCGGUAAUACAGAGGGUGCGAGCGUUAAUCGGAUUUACUGGGCGUAAAGCGUGCGUAGGCGGCUUCUUAAGUCGGAUGUGAAAUCCCUGAGCUUAACUUAGGAAUUGCAUUCGAUACUGGGAAGCUAGAGUAUGGGAGAGGAUGGUAGAAUUCCAGGUGUAGCGGUGAAAUGCGUAGAGAUCUGGAGGAAUACCGAUGGCGAAGGCAGCCAUCUGGCCUAAUACUGACGCUGAGGUACGAAAGCAUGGGGAGCAAACAGGAUUAGAUACCCGCGUAGUCCCUGUCUCUUAUAC